AAGAAAAUCAACCCAGAUUAUCUUCCCUCAACCUUCCUCUUAACUCCAAUAAAAAUCCAGACAAAGGUAUUUAAAAGCCAGAUUUUCUGUAGAAGUCCUUUUUCUCCUUGAAUUUGCAGACUGUGGCUGUGUAAACCGACUGCCUGGCAAAAGUAAAAUUAAGCAAGUUUGGUUGCUCCAGAGAAGAAACUCCAGUCCAGGAACAAUUUUAAAAAAUGAAAGAAUUAACUUUCAUCUUCAGCCUGUUGGCUCUUACUGCAUGUUUCACGCCCAGUGACAGCCAGAGAGCUCCCAGGGGACCCUAUGGACCUGUUCUGCGGCCACCACCCCAUCUGCCCCCGCCAAGAGGGUUUCCGCCAGGCCUUAAUCCUCCCUAUGGCCCAGGAUUUAUUCCACCACCCCAUCCUCCUCCUUUUUUUCAGCCAU
This is a long non-coding RNA of Myotis lucifugus (little brown bat), 426 nucleotides long. RefSeq lists it as uncharacterized. NCBI's taxonomy places the organism in Eukaryota, Metazoa, Chordata, Mammalia, Chiroptera, Vespertilionidae. The transcript has 3 exons. The record is from RefSeq and is a predicted model, not a curated record.